UACCGUACGUACAUUUCUGCUGUCACAAAAUAAUUCCAGCAUAAAUUUAAGUAUGUAGGACG
Oreochromis aureus is the source of this 62-nucleotide microRNA precursor. Lineage: Eukaryota; Metazoa; Chordata; Actinopteri; Cichliformes; Cichlidae. The record is from Ensembl.